CUACCACACCUUGCCUACAGCUUUCUUCUUAUGUAGCUGCCCUAUUACUCUUCUACAUAACCUUGUAACUAGUGUCUGUCUUACAGGAGGUGUCUGUACGGCACAGGGCCAUGCAACUAGUGUCUGUCUUACAGGAGGUGUCUGUACGGCACAGGGCCAUGUAACUAGUGUCUGUCUUAUAGGAGGUGUCUGUACGGCACAGGGCCAUGUAACUAGUGUCUGUCUUACAGGAGGUGUCUGCAUGGCACAGGGCCAUGUAACUAGUGUCUGUCUUACAGGAGGUGUCUGUACAGCACAGGGCCAUGUAACUAGUGUCUG
Molecule: long non-coding RNA, 318 nt
Organism: Apodemus sylvaticus (European woodmouse)
Lineage: Eukaryota; Metazoa; Chordata; Mammalia; Rodentia; Muridae
Exons: 3
Source: RefSeq, a predicted model, not a curated record